RNAcentral lists this ribosomal RNA (468 nucleotides) under uncultured bacterium. RNAcentral's name for it is "partial 16S ribosomal RNA". It matches the Rfam family "Bacterial small subunit ribosomal RNA", at positions 28 to 507 of the family's 1533-position model. The record is from RNAcentral.
GACGAACGCUGGCGGCGUGCUUAACACAUGCAAGUCGAACGGAAAGGCCCUGCUUUUGUGGGGUGCUCGAGUGGCGAACGGGUGAGUAACGCGUGAGUAACCUGCCCUUGACUUUGGGAUAACUUCAGGAAACUGGGGCUAAUACCGGAUAGGAGCUCCUGCUGCAUGGUGGGGGUUGGAAAGUUUCGGCGGUUGGGGAUGGACUCGCGGCUUAUCAGCUUGUUGGUGGGGUAGUGGCUUACCAAGGCUUUGACGGGUAGCCGGCCUGAGAGGGUGACCGGCCACAUUGGGACUGGGAUACGGCCCAGACUCCUACGGGAGGCAGCAGUGGGGAAUAUUGCACAAUGGGCGGAAGCCUGAUGCAGCAACGCCGCGUGCGGGAUGACGGCCUUCGGGUUGUAAACCGCUUUCGCCUGUGACGAAGCGUGAGUGACGGUAAUGGGUAAAGAAGCACCGGCUAACUACGUG